RNAcentral lists this ribosomal RNA (437 nucleotides) under uncultured bacterium. RNAcentral's name for it is "bacterial SSU rRNA". It matches the Rfam family "Bacterial small subunit ribosomal RNA", at positions 46 to 526 of the family's 1533-position model. The record is from RNAcentral.
GCCUAACACAUGCAAGUCGUACGCCCAGCAAGGCGAGUGGCAAACGGCUGACUCACACGUGGAACGGUACCCUUACCUUCGGAACGACACUGGCAGAAUAGCGGUAAUACCGGAUACGCGCGAGUGCGGAAAGGUUUACCGCCCACGGAUCGGCCCGCGUGGAUUAGCGUAGCUGUGUAGGUAACGGCUCACCAAGGCGACGAUCAGUAGCUCGUCUGAGAGGAUGAUCAGCCACACUCCGGACUGAGACAAGGCCCAAACUCCUACGGGAGGCAGCAGUGGGGAAUAAUGGACAAUGGGCGCAGGCGUGAUCCUAGCCAUCCUCGCGUGAGUGAUGACGGCCCUAGGGUUGUAAAGCUCUUUUACAUGGGAAGAUAAUGCCGGUAUACAGCAGAAUAAGCCCCGGCUUACUUCGUGCCACCAGCCGCGGUUAUAAU